UGGGAGAUCGUCUAGUGGCAGGACCGGGGCCUUUGAAGCUCCAGACGUAGGUUCGAAUCCUACUCCCCCAACCA
RNAcentral lists this transfer RNA (74 nucleotides) under Gammaproteobacteria bacterium. RNAcentral's name for it is "tRNA-Gln". It matches the Rfam family "tRNA". From Rfam's summary of the family: Transfer RNA (tRNA) molecules are approximately 80 nucleotides in length. Their secondary structure includes four short double-helical elements and three loops (D, anti-codon, and T loops). The record is from RNAcentral. Lineage: Bacteria; Pseudomonadati; Pseudomonadota; Gammaproteobacteria.